RNAcentral lists this ribosomal RNA (539 nucleotides) under uncultured bacterium. RNAcentral's name for it is "bacterial SSU rRNA". It matches the Rfam family "Archaeal small subunit ribosomal RNA", at positions 725 to 1260 of the family's 1478-position model. The record is from RNAcentral.
AGUGAAUAGAUACCCGGGUAGUCCCAGCUGUAAACGAUGCGCGUUAGGUGUAUCGGUGACCACGAGUCACCGAGGUGCCGAAAGGGAAACCGUGAAACGUGCCGCCUGGGAAGUACGGUCGCAAGGCUGAAACUUAAAGGAAUUGGCGGGGGAGCACCACAACAGGUGGAGCCUGCGGUUUAAAUCGGACUCAACGCCGGGAAGCUCACCGGAUAAGACAGCUGAAUGAUAGCCGGGUUGAAGACUCUGCUUGACUAGCUGAGAGGAGGUGCAUGGCCGUCGUCAGUUCGUACUGUGAAGCAUCCUGUUAAGUCAGGCAACGAGCGAGACCCACGCCAACAGUUGCCAGCAUGUCCUCCGGGAUGGUGGGGACACUGUUGGGACCGCCUCUGCUAAAGAGGAGGAAGGAAUGGGCAACGGUAGGUCAGCAUGCCCCGAAUUAUCCGGGCUACACGCGGGCUACAAUGGUCAGGACAAUGGGUAUCAACACCGAAAGGUGAAGGCAAUCUCCUAAACCUGUCCUUAGUUCGGAUUGUGGG